RNAcentral lists this ribosomal RNA (253 nucleotides) under uncultured bacterium. Its description in RNAcentral is "partial 16S ribosomal RNA". It matches the Rfam family "Bacterial small subunit ribosomal RNA", at positions 524 to 776 of the family's 1533-position model. The record is from RNAcentral.
UACAGAGGUCCCAAGCGUUGUUCGGAUUCACUGGGCGUAAAGGGCGCGUAGGCGGCUUGGCAAGUGGAAGGUGAAAUCCCUCGGCUUAACCGAGGAACUGCCCUCCAAACUGCUUCGCUUGAGACCGGGAGAGGUGAGUGGAAUUCCCAGUGUAGCGGUGAAAUGCGUAGAUAUUGGGAGGAACACCAGUGGCGAAGGCGGCUCACUGGACCGGUACUGACGCUGAUGCGCGAAAGGGUGGGGAGCAAACAGG